CCAAUUGACAUUUUCGAGCACGAAUAAUCGGGAAUUCGAGCAAAUUCCCUUAAAUUGGAGCCUUUAACUUCCCUUAAACUGCACCAGUUUAAGGGAAUUUAGAAAAAGUCCUUUAAAAUUAACUGUGAAGCGGCUUUUACGUUACUUUCUUCUAGAUUCCCUCGGAAAUGAUGUUUCCUAUCGUCAUAGUCGGCCAUGUUCCCAUUUUAUACAUAAAUAAUAUCCAUUUUUUGUAAAAUAACGUCACACAAAAUUAGCUUUUGUUUUUCAUCAAAAAACCAUAGCUAUGAAUGAAAAAUGAGCUAUGAGCUCGACGGCAUGGUCCAUCGAUAGAGGAACGUCUAUUUUACGAACACUCAAAAUCUUGGCGCUUUCAACACACUUGAUCACACACAAAUCCACAAUUUCAAGCGUAUCGAGUACUAAUUGAGCAGAUAUGGGAAGACAAUUUCGAGCAAAUGUCACUUGGGAUAUUCACAGACGGCUCGUCAAAGCACGGUAUUUGUAUUGGUGUUAGUGAAGCGCGCGUGUAAAACAGCAUGCGAACUCUCAUCGCAGCGCGUUUCUCCUUCCCAAGGACGCAAAAACCGACGGCGGCCUGUGUAAUCUGAGCUCCCUACAGCUCUCAGUCAGUCCAGAACUUUCCCUAUGGAAGGAUGUACUGAAGUGAGGUGCGAUUUCUUGUGCGACGUACUUUGCUCAUUUACGUUUUGUGCCGUGUUCCUUCUUCCUCAGUUAUGGAAUGAUUUAUCCUAGCAAAUUGUUGAUUUACAGGUGUGUGCGCUAUUUAUCAACGACUACCUGCUAGCCUCGUCAACAAUGUUCAAAGUGAGCGACGGAAAGAAAACGUUUUCCAGUUUUAAAAUAUUAAGCCCCCGGUGAGGACGUCAUUACUUAACAGAAGCCGAUUCAACACGCGCAGCUCCUGUUCAUGACGUCAUCACUAAACUGAAGAUAGCCGAACACGCGCAGCACGGAUGGUACAGUAUUGGACAAUAA
This is a long non-coding RNA of Anopheles gambiae (African malaria mosquito), 999 nucleotides long. RefSeq lists it as uncharacterized. The transcript has 3 exons. NCBI's taxonomy places the organism in Eukaryota, Metazoa, Arthropoda, Insecta, Diptera, Culicidae. The record is from RefSeq and is a predicted model, not a curated record.